AGAGCUCAGUGGCUGCCGGGUACCAAGACAGAUGCUCAUCACGAAAUGGACUUUCUUUAGCCACAACACCAGCAAAGUGGUCCACUAAGGAGCAAGCGCCGUGCUCUGUGUAGGAUCACGAAGCUCGGAGCGCAGAGAACGCUGUGUCCUGCCUGGGCUCCGAAGCUUUCGCCACACGUGGCCCGGAUUGUGAGGAAGGCUGCUCGCUUCAUGAGACUUUGACCUCACCCCGGCUGCCCUUUGAAGACACUCUCGGCCGGCGGUUCUGACCACCCUCUGGCACGGUUCUCAUAGCAAAGGGCUCCUAAACUCCAGAGCUGAGGGGCAGCUCCAACAGCUUUCCGGUGAUAGCGUGUUUGUGUGUGUGUGUGUGUGUGUGUGUGUGUGUGUGUGUGUGUGUGGCGGGAGUCUUGGGGAGCUGAGUUUCCCUCUGCUGCGGGGCAGUUGGUUAAUGAUCUCCCGACACCCGGCCGUGUGGGAGAGCAGGGUCACGCUGCGGCCUGUGCGGACAGGCUCGGCUGGAGGGUGCUGCAGAGGGACCUGCCUCUGACCCAUUGACCCGUCGGGAAAGUCCAGCAGCUGUGGCUCUGUGUCUUCCCAGUUGUCAGGCUCUGGGUCCCGCUGUCGCUCCAUUUCCAGGCUUGUGGGGGAAACAAGACUGUCUGCUGGCAGGACGAGAGAAACCUUGAUGUUCACAAAGAAACGUGGGGGAAGCUGCCCAGCCCUGCUCGUGGCCACCCUCCUCCCCAGAGCACCGCAGUGCGUACAGACAUGGUUUCUCAUUGAUUCGUUUCUUGAAGUGCUCCUGCCCACAUCCUCAGCCCGGCCACGGUUCUUACCCAUGCCCCAGCCGGCCUGCACACCUCCCGCAGCCUUCUGCCACCCGGUGGGUUACGGGAGAGGCCGAAUCCUGACCUACCCGAGCCUCUGCUCCAUGCACCUCCGCACCCCGGGGACAGCAGGGGAAGAGCAGAACGUUUCCUUCUUUCCUUCUCUCUCUCUCUCUCUCUCUCUCUCUCUCUCUCUCUCUCCCUCCCUCCCUCCCUCCCUUCCUUUCUUCCUUUCUUUUGUAUUAUUAUUUAUACAGCAUUCUGCCUGCAUGUACACCUGCACACCAGCAGAGGGCACCAGACCUCACUAUAGAGGGCUGUGAACCACCACGUGGGUGCUGGGAAUUGAACUCAGGUCCUUCGGAAGAGCAGCCGGUGCUCUAACCCCUCAGCCACCUCUCCAGCUUAGUGCAGGCCUGGCGGGAUGGCCCAGUGGGUAGACGCUGGCACGCAGGCCUGGCCCCAGUUUUGAUGGCCAUGACCUGUGUGAAGGUGAGAGGAAGAGCCCAUGCUGCUCUCCGUCUGGGGCACACGCUCUUCCCCAUCGAUGAAGUCUCGCUACACGUGGAGCGUCACAAGUCCGUGGUCUGACAAGGAAACACGGCACAGAUGAAACAUGGGCACCUCCCAGGCACAUAUGCCGGGGUGACGGGCCCUGCCUGGGGCGAGGCUCUGCCCCCGCCCUGCCCUGCCUCGAGCGGCCGUUGGUCACCCUGACUGUUCCGGGCGUCUGGAGGGCUGAGAGGCCGUUGGGGAAGGUCAGUAGCUGGACACGGCUCGGCCACUCCUCGCUGUGAGCUCCCUCAGGCUGCCUGCUCCCUCGCUUUCCCCGAGUCCCCAGCCCAGGCUGUUCUUCAAGGCGUUUCAUUUAUUAAUGUGUGCGUGGACGUGUGGCCUGCGUGUGCCUCUGUGUGCCCUGCGUGCUUGGUGCUCACGGGCUUCAGAUGAGGGUGUCAGAGCCCUGGGGACCGGACUUAGUGGUUGUGAGUUGCACACGGUUGUGGGCUCCGUGUGGUGCUGGGAACGCUGAGCCCUUUGCAAGAGCAGCUGCGCUCCUGGCCGAGCCUCUCCGGCCCACGUCUGUUCUCUAGGACACUGCUUAGGCCUCGGUCCUAGCUGGCCAGGGUCAGUCUCCACAGACAGGUGGGCCUGAACCACAGAGACUAUUCUUCAAGACAGAGGGUUGGUCAGUGAGACAGGAACCUGCCUGUCUCCGCCUCUCCCGGUGGUGGCAUUCCAGCCCAGGCCACAAUGCCCAGGCUGAGGACAAACAAGGUGCCCACCUCUGAUCUGUCGCUGGGCUCCUUCUCUUGCCUUUAUUGGGUGAUGGGGCUCAAACCGGAGCCUCGGGCCUGCUAAGUGACCUCCCCCUCCCCCCCACUGAGCUGCAAGCUGAGCCCCAGCCUCAACCUCUUAUAGCUUUGAUAGUUUUACUUUAAAUGCUGCUGGCGGUGCUGUGACCCUAGCUUAGACGGGACUUUGUCAAAGUCUUUACAGGUGACAGUAAAGCAAUGUGUGUGUGUGUGUGUGUGUGUGUGUGGUGUGUAUGUGUGUGUAUGGUAUGUGUGUGUGGUGUGUGGAUGGCAUGUGUGGGUGUGGGUGUGUAUGUGUGUAUCCUCCAUGUUAAUUUGUUUUGAAGGUUGAUUUUGUUUGUAUGUGCACAUGUGUUUUCCCUGCACGUGUGCAUGUGUGUCACAUGCGUGCCGGUUGCAAAGCUCAGAGACCCCUGAAAUUGGAGCGACAGAUGGUUGUGAGCCACCGUGUCUUUCACUGAACCCAGAGACCACUGUUUCCACCAGCCUGUCUGCCUCCCCGACCCUGUGCCGGGGUUACAGGUACAGGUUGCCAUGCCCGGUUUGUGGGUGCUGGGGAUCUGGCUUCAGGUCUGCAGGCUCUGUGGCAACAAGUUCCAGGCUGAACCAUCCCUCAGAGCCGAGUGUUUGGGCCACAAAGAAAUGCUGUUUGAGAAUGUGAAUGUUUAAUUUUAUGCAAAUAUUGUACAGUGUAUAAACCUCAUAUGGUACUCCAUUAAUCUGUACAAGUUUAUGUCUUUGGUUGUGUUUUUGUUUGUUUGUUUGAGACAGGGUUUCUCUGUGUAGCCCUUACUAACCUGGAACUCACUCUGUAGAUCAGGCUGGCCUUGAACUCAGAGAUCUACCUGCCUUUGCCUCCCAAGUGCUGGGACUAAAGGCGUGUGCCACCACCACAGUCCGACAAUUUCAUGUCUUUGUGUCAAUAAAAAACAAAUUUAAUUUAA
Long non-coding RNA from Meriones unguiculatus (Mongolian gerbil), 3087 nucleotides. RefSeq lists it as uncharacterized. The record is from RefSeq and is a predicted model, not a curated record. Lineage: Eukaryota; Metazoa; Chordata; Mammalia; Rodentia; Muridae. The transcript is spliced from 3 exons.